Non-coding RNA from Camelina sativa (false flax), 1363 nucleotides. The record is from RefSeq and is a predicted model, not a curated record. NCBI's taxonomy places the organism in Eukaryota, Viridiplantae, Streptophyta, Magnoliopsida, Brassicales, Brassicaceae.
UAGAAAGAAAAAAAAUAUAGCCCCGCGGCGUAGGGCGGGUACCAACCUAGUGAAUGUAAAAAGAGGAAUGUUAUAAAUUUCUAACUCUCCUCCGCCGUAGUAUUCAUUAUAAUCCCCCGUCUCCGGCAAUGUACUCGGAGGCCCGAGUCGUUCUUUCGUCAUCUUGUUCCCUUCAUCCUCUAUUGGUCUUCUCAACAUCGUUUAUGGCUCUUCCUCUAUGCUCUCUCGCAUUUUUCCCUCUUUCAGUGAUUCUUCGUCGUCUCCGGAGUAAAUUGAGGAACCUAAGCUAGAAGAUGUGAUGCGUACAAUGAUUCUGAUAACUUUGAAUCAAGCUUGGGCAGCUUCAGGAUCUGUAAUCGAUCUCGUCUUUGAGAGUUUUAGAAUUGGUAAAUGAUCAAGAAAGCUUUUGAUGUGCUGUGUAGAGCUGCAACUAACGCUGGUGAUAAUUUCUUUGGAUGCUAAGGAAUAUUCUCGUUGAAAUGCAUAAACAUUGUUUCAGAAUUGAAACAAAAGGUGUUGAGUUCUCUGGUGGCGAGGCUAAUUUCAUGACUCGUUCUUAUUUGAAAAUGAUAUGCAGAAGAAUCAUUUUUCUUCGGAUUGUUCUUGAAAAGGUUAAAACUUUGUUUUCACGGUAUGUUUCUUAAUUUCUUACACUCUUGGUAACUUAAGCCAGAACUUAUUGGUUUGUGUAUUGAGUGAUUCAUUGUCUUCCCUUUAUGGUCUCCAGGAUGCUUAUGUGAUCUGGUUCAGGAACUUAUUUGUUUUUCAAAGCUUUCAGUAUUUAAUGUUGUCUUAUGAUUUUUUUUUUUUAUGAACUGCAUUUGAUUGAGAACUCUUGUGAGAUCAUUCACGUACUUACGAAGCCUCAGUCUGCUUGGCAGGGAAUAUUGUGUUCUUUUUGUUUGAUGAACUCACAGGACACAUAUGUCAUGCACUUUGGGAGACUAAGCGUGGCAUUUUCCAAGGUACAUAUAGUAUGGUAUUAGCAUGAGGAACUGAGCUAGAAAUUGGUUGAUAUAGGUGUUGGAGAUGGGAUGAUCCUAUAUUUUCUAUGGUCGUUGUUGAAUUUUUGAACAUUGUAGCAUGGUAAUUUUCGUUGGUCUCUGCAUCUGUGUGAAACUUCUAUGAAGCCAACCUUCCCCGUAAAAAGAUCUUACAAGAGCUCUGGUUUGAAUUUGGAAGAGCUGCACACCGUGUUGCUGUUUUUUAAGCUUCAGAAUUCAGACAAAUAGCAAGGCUCCAGUUUUAAUUAUAUUAUGUAUUUUGUAUUUUCCAUGAUAUAUUUUUUUUGUUUUACAGCCAUGAUAUUGAUGUUUUUAUGUACAAACUACAUUUAUCUAUACUAUUAAAGCAGAAGUACUCC